CCUACGGGAGGCUGCAGUGAGGAAUAUUGGUCAAUGGGCGAGAGCCUGAACCAGCCAAGUCGCGUGAGGGAAGACGGUCCUAUGGAUUGUAAACCUCUUUUGCCGGGGAGCAAAAAGCGGUACGUGUACCGCAUCGAGAGUACCCGGAGAAAAAGCAUCGGCUAACUCCGUGCCAGCAGCCGCGGUAAUACGGAGGAUGCGAGCGUUAUCCGGAUUUAUUGGGUUUAAAGGGUGCGCAGGCGGCGAGUUAAGUCAGCGGUAAAAUUUCGGGGCUCAACCCCGACAAGCCGUUGAAACUGGCGUGCUAGAGUGGGCGAGAAGUAGGCGGAAUGCGUGGUGUAGCGGUGAAAUGCAUAGAUAUCACGCAGAACUCCGAUUGCGAAGGCAGCAUACCGGCGCCCAACUGACGCUCAGGCACGAAAGCGUGGGUAUCGAACAGGAUUAGAUACCCCAGUAGUC
RNAcentral lists this ribosomal RNA (459 nucleotides) under uncultured bacterium. Its description in RNAcentral is "partial 16S ribosomal RNA". It matches the Rfam family "Bacterial small subunit ribosomal RNA", at positions 338 to 795 of the family's 1533-position model. The record is from RNAcentral.